UUUUUUUUUUUUUUUUUUUUUUUGCACAGUCUCAAGUGGGAAGUCCCGUGGUUCUCAUAAAGCAAGCCUGUCUUUUUCCAUGACAUUUACAGAUUUAGCUUCAAUAAAAUAACGCAAACCCUGCCUCGGACAUUUGAAAACAGCAUGUUGCCUGAUAGGUCUGAUUUUGAUUGCACAUCAUAUAUUCUGCUCAGCACUCAGAGCGUGGCCGAUAAUCCCCCAGUUGCGGCCUCCCUCCCUUGGCCGGGGAAAGCUAACCAAACUACGUGAUGUGUUGCCUUCCCACAGCUUCCCCUCAUCCUCUUCCCCUUCAGCCACCACACUCUAUUCUUGGGGGAAUAUGCACCAGCUGAGUGGUGGCUUUCACCUUGGCUGGACAUUUAAGGAGGCAAGAGAAAGAAUAUUGUCUACUAAUUGAAUGCACCACUCAUUCCUGGAGACAAAAUUAGGUGAGGGUCACCAUCCCACUGGUGACCAGAGAUGAGCAUCUCACUUCCUUUGGAUGUUCAUGAGCCCCUACAACUUUCCUUCUUCUCUUAAGGUAUCACUUCCUACAGAUAACAGAGAAUGGGUCCUCAAAGGUCUUGUUCAGAAUCCUCUCUCAAGAGCUCAGCGAUUCUAUGUGUAGGCGAGAAAUAAGCCUAGUGCAAGAAUAGCCAUGUUGAAGGUGAUUAUUUUUCCUCUGACAAACAAAUUUCCAUUCCCUAGUGACUGGGGAAGAACGUGGUUGUAUAAUUCUCCUAACGCUCACAUAUCACACACACUCUCUUCUUCGUCUCCCCAGUGAUACACCUGCACAGAAGGCAGUUGGAAUGGUUUGGUCAAGGUCAUGGAAGUAGGCUGAAUGUUUACAUCAAGAACAGAACAGAGCAAGUUUCUGGGUGGUGCACAGGGUGGCAUAGGAUCACUUGGCAACCCUGGUUUCAGAUGCAGUGUCCUCUGCCAAAGCCUCGCUAGGAAACAAGUGUCUAAGAUAGAGUUGGUCCAGUGGCAGACACGGAGCCCGGGCAUUAUGAACUCACAGCUCUCAGUGUCUCCAUCUGCCCCUGAUUUAAUGUGGACGGCAGUAUCUCUACCACUGACAGGAACAGCAUUUCUUGUCGCGUCGUGUACUAAGCUAUUUCUGCCAUGACAUAUAUCAGCGGGAUCAGGAUCCUGAGGAUUUAUUGGGGGUGUUAAUAAUUGCAUGUGGGUAAGGUCCCAGCUCCUCAUCUGCAGCCCGGGGAGCCCUGCUAAACGGAGCCGGUGUAUAUUCUCUUUUGGACAGGGAGCUCAUAUUUAACACACGGCUUUGUCUUCUCUGACUGCCCCCUGAAAAAUUAUGUUUUUAGUAAAUAAAUAUUUAACAGAUUUCCUAGUGUCUGCAUUUUCUAUUAGUUUAGCCGGAUUCAAUAUCCAGUACCCUGAAAGCAAAAGUGUAAGAAAUUCUUUGGUAAAAAAAUAACAUUUCCUUAAACAGCUCCUUCCUUUUUGUGUUUCUUCACAUGAAUUAUUUCUUCCAUUCACAUCCCAAUUUUGUUUUCAAAGUAGAGAUACCUGCCUUCUCUUGUUUAAAAACGUACUUAAAAAAAACAGAUACAAAGGACGAGGAAGCACACGAAUAUGGUCUGUCGAUAACUAGGAAAGAAACCUAAGGUCACCAGAAUUCUUCAUGUCCACUUAGUAUUCUCAUCUUUUGUUUCUCUGACUCUUUCCCCAAAGCCAGUUUGCCAAAGUGUUAAGAAGACAUUGCAAAAUUGGAUUUGCUCCAUCUUAUCCAAAAUAAAAUUGACUACAACUAAAUCUAUUAUGUAUUAAUUAAAUAUAAGUUGAGAGCAUCUAUCCACUUGGUCCCCAAACCAUUGAAUAUAUCAGAUUUAAGUGCCUCUGGGUUUUGUUAUAAGCAUUUUCAGAAAAAGCCAACUGUGGUUAAAAUUCACAACCUGUAGAUACUCUUUACAUCAGAUAUUGCAAUUGCCUGGAGAUAUUAUUUUUAUGGGCAUUCAUUUAUUUCCAAUUUCCACAACAUUCUGGGAAACUUCUCUAUGAAAGGGAAAAAUGCAAAAGUAAAAUACAUAGUGCCAAGUUAUAUUCUGAUGUGUAUAGACAUAUCUCCAUCAGUGACAUUUAUUUCCUGUCUCUCAAUGUUCAUAAAUGGUAAUAUGUUCUCCUUUGUCCUCUGAUUUUUUUCGUGUUUAAUUAUAUUUUUCCUGGAACAUGGGUAUGUUUCUUCUUUUUGGUAUAUUGUAUUUGUUUAUAUGAUUUCCUAUUAACUAGGUACAGCUAAGAAAAAUGAGACUCUAACAAAAUGACUGAACUGUCCUAUUGCAGAGGAGAGGGAGAGGAGAUGAAGAAAAGGAGACUAUUCAUUGAAGGAAAGCAAAAUGUAAAUACAUUUCUAUUUAAAAAGUAGGUAACCUCAUGUUAGUGCAGAACUGGAAAAGACUAAUGUAUACAUUUCCUUUCACAGAUGAGGAAACUGUGGUUCAGAGGCAAUUUGCCUCACAUCUUAGAAGGAGAGGCACAUCUGCAUCCCAACUAACAGGCCAAGGUCAUGUUCAUGCUGCCAACUCAGAGCAUCUGGACCAGAAAGCAGCUACUCCUUCCAAAAGAAGUUCUUAUGAGGUCUGGUUACAUGCUCUUAUGUUGCAUUUAAAAUCUAAAUUCAUCUCCUAUUUUCUCCUCUUCCUAUCCCUAGAAGACACCUUCAAGACUUCCUAAGACCCUGUCAGCCGCCUCCUUAUGCCAUCACGCACCCUCCUUGUUUCUUCCUGCUUAACAUAUAUAUAGCAAACAUGAGGAGACUGAGGGAACAAUGUCUAGAGAACAGACACCUCAUGCCAAAUAGAGCAGGCAAUCAAAAUGGUCUUGAAUUUUGAAUAAAUGUGCAAAUUAACAAAUUUAAGGGAACAUGAGAUCUAAAAACAUCAAAUUCUAUAUCCUAUCCGGAAUACAAUCUACUGCUACACAACCUACUACACACACAAUCUACUUAGACAAAUAGUCCAGAGGUCUCCACUUCAUAGAUGAGGAGGACAAUUAGAGAUACAAAGAACAGAAAUCUGUUCACACUACACCAGCCUCUCCUUGUCCAACACAUUUGUCUUAUACUCUAAACACCAUGUAGAAGCAUAAAAAGGAAUGAAUUUAUAUAGACCAUUAGAAAGCAGUUUGAAACAGACCACAUAGAGAUCACAAAGCCAUCAUCUGCUGGUGUUGGAAUGUCUGGGUGUGUGUGUGUGAUGAAUGCAUUUGCAAAUAUUGCUGUGAAGUAAUUUCCUUCCAUUUCUGGAGUACUCCAGAUAAAUUAGAUUUCCCUCUAAUCACAUCUGCUGCCUGUGUACGAGAAAAGAUAGUUUGUCUGCAUAAGACACAUAAUACAUACUUGGAGGGUAGAGGGCAAAGAGGCUUAGUGGAAAGUUACCACGUAUAAUCGUAAUGGGGCAGAGUACAAACAAAAAGUCAUAGGACAUUUCUCCAGUAGAGACUAUGCAAAAUGACAGCCUGAAUGUUGCUGUGAGAAUCUUACAGAGCAUGUGCAAUUCACCUGUAGGAUGUAAACGAGACCUUCCUCAAAUGUGGCACCAUGUUGAGAACUGGCUAACCCAGGCUGAAUACUUUAAAGGAACAAACUAAUGAGAAUGAAGAUACAGCCAUUCAAAAUCUUUGGGAUGCAGCAAAAGCAGUCCUGAGAGGGGAAAUACAUCGCAAUACAAGCAUCCAUCCAAAAACUGGAAAGAACUCAAAUACAAAAGCUAACCUUGCACCCAAAGGAGAUAGAGAAAAAACAGCAAAUAGAUCCUACACGCAGAAGAAGAAGAGAGUUAAUGAAGAUUCGAGAACUCAACAAAAUCGAGAUCAGAAGAACUGUGGAACAGAUCAACAAAACCAGGAGUUGGUUCUUUGAAAGAAUUAAUAAGAUAGAUAAACCAUUAGCCAGCCUUAUUAAAAAGAAGAGAGAAAAGACUCAAAUUAAUACUUUAAAGGAACAAAUCUGAUUUGCCAGGGUAUUAACCCAAUACAUGCACACUGAAACUGGAACUGGAAAGAAAGUGUGGAUGUAUUGGGUUAACAUCCUGGUAAAUCAGAAUUAAGAUAGAAGAAAAUUCAAACUGAAAUGUGAUUAAUAAAGUGAUUAUACAUAGCUGUAGCAUAUGUAGGUCAGCCUCAGAGCUUUUUCUGACAGUUAAUAUCUAAUUAGGGGAGCUUGAGUGGCUCAGUCGGUUAAGCGACUGACUCUUGGUUUUGACUCAGGUCGUGAUCUUGAGGUUGGGAGAUCGAGCCCCACAUCAGGCUCUGCAAUUAGUGUGGAGUCUUCUUGAGAUUCUCUGUCUCUCGCUUUGCCUCUGCUCUCCCCCUGCUCCACGCUUGCGCACAUUCUCUAAAAUUAAAAUUAUUUAAAAUACCUAAUCCUAGAAAGUGCUAAAAUUUUAAAAAGAAGUAUUAAAAACAGUUGUCCGUCAUGCAGUCAAAUAUCCCUUAAUGUCACAUGCUGAUAGCAGAUGCUGUUAGUGAACUGCCCAAGUUCACCUUGGGGCAUACCAUUUCAGAAAAUGCCCACCAUGUCCUGCUGCAAGCUUUUGUGACUCUCUACUUAAGGCCUUCAUGUGACAGGCUAGAUGUACUGGGGAUUUAACAUCCAUGAACAGCUAACAAUAGGUGGUAGUUGGAGAACAAAUACUCUCCUUGCCUUUAGGUGGAAAGACUGAGACCCGCUCCUCACAAUGCCCCAAUGUUUCCCAGAGGGGCUAUGCCCUAGUGAUAUAUAAAUACCUUUCACUGGCUUCCUUCCAUCCUGGUCAUAUUUCCAUACUCCAUUACCCCCUUUUUCCUGAAAUUAUCUACAAAACAAAUGGCCUGCAAUCUAAUCUUAUUUCAAGUCGUCAACAGAAACCCAGCUGAAAGCACGACCUGUUCAAGUUCUGCCAAUAUUUGAAAAUUAAGCUACAUAAAUGUCUAAGAAUGUCCAAAACAAUGGUUAUAAAUCCUAAGCACCAAAGUCCACGCACUUAACUUACAAUGAAAAUGGCAAGAAAUAGUAGGAACAUUGAGGAAAGAGGCAGAAAAACAACCAAAAUGAUGUGAUAACUUAUGAAGCAUUUAGGAGGGAGACAAUCAGGCUUCAGGAACCUAAUAUCUGAAGGCGUUAGCACGGCAUCUGGGAGUACAGUUCCCAUCUAAUGAUGGUCUGAGUACCUUGAUCAUUAAAAAGAUGAAUGGCAAUUGAUGUGCUCUAAGCGUACACAGUGC
RNAcentral lists this long non-coding RNA (5229 nucleotides) under Canis lupus familiaris (dog). Its description in RNAcentral is "lncRNA (ENSCAFG00000053131.1)". Lineage: Eukaryota; Metazoa; Chordata; Mammalia; Carnivora; Canidae. The record is from RNAcentral.